This 553-nucleotide ribosomal RNA is filed under the name uncultured bacterium. RNAcentral describes it as "bacterial SSU rRNA". It matches the Rfam family "Bacterial small subunit ribosomal RNA", at positions 59 to 616 of the family's 1533-position model. The record is from RNAcentral.
AACGAAGCACUUUAUUUGAUUUCCUUCGGGACUGAUUAUUUUGUGACUGAGUGGCGGACGGGUGAGUAACGCGUGGGUAACCUGCCUUGUACAGGGGGAUAACAGUUGGAAACGGCUGCUAAUACCGCAUAAGCGCACGGCAUCGCAUGAUGCAGUGUGAAAAACUCCGGUGGUAUAAGAUGGACCCGCGUUGGAUUAGCUAGUUGGUGAGGUAACGGCCCACCAAGGCGACGAUCCAUAGCCGACCUGAGAGGGUGACCGGCCACAUUGGGACUGAGACACGGCCCAAACUCCUACGGGAGGCAGCAGUGGGGAAUAUUGCACAAUGGGCGAAAGCCUGAUGCAGCGACGCCGCGUGAGCGAAGAAGUAUUUCGGUAUGUAAAGCUCUAUCAGCAGGGAAGAUAAUGACGGUACCUGACUAAGAAGCACCGGCUAAAUACGUGCCAGCAGCCGCGGUAAUACGUAUGGUGCAAGCGUUAUCCGGAUUUACUGGGUGUAAAGGGAGCGCAGGCGGUGCGGCAAGUCUGAUGUGAAAGCCCGGGGCUCAACCCC